Molecule: small RNA, 4161 nt
Filed under: Pan troglodytes (chimpanzee)
Lineage: Eukaryota; Metazoa; Chordata; Mammalia; Primates; Hominidae
Description: retained intron
Source: RNAcentral
AUGUGAGAACGUUGUUGGGGAGGGUGUACCAUAUCCCAGCCCCCCAGACUUCGGACAGGGGGAUAGGCAAGGAACCCUCAGGAAGUCCGGAGGAAUGGAAUGGGUCACCUCCCUGGACAGUGGUUUUGGCCCCAGCUGUUCCCCAGGGGCAUCAGAGUCGAGGGGCAGGGCCAGAGCCUCUUUCCUGAUCUCAGUCUCACCGGCCUCUUCUCUCCAGGGGGAAUUAAAUGGACAAAGGGGCCUGGUUCCAUCCAACUUCCUGGAGGGCCCUGGGCCUGAGGCAGGCGGCCUGGACAGGGAACCCAGGACACCCCAGGCUGAGAGUCAGGUCAGUGAGGAGCUGGGCUCCCAGCUUGGCAGGGCAGUCUACCCUACUGGUGGGGUGGUAGGGCCAGGGCAGUGUUGCGGCAGGGGUGCAGCUGGGGUGGUCAUGCAGGUAAGCACUGUGUCCAGCGUGCAGCCGCUAAUUGACCACCAGAGGGGAGCCCCACCAAGCAGCUGCCCCCCAGUAUGUGCCCCUCUCUGCAGAGGGAUGAUAGCUGUGACCCUGACCCUCAGGCCAUCUCGCCAGCUGCCAACACCUGGUGGCUGACGCAGGUGAGGGGGCCCUGUGGAAAAGGACCCCUCUGCCUCACACCUGUGGCCAAUCAAAGUCCCUGUUUCAGGACACUCCCACCCUGGGGGGGGUCUCCAUACCUCCCAGGUGCCUUUGGAAGCCAGUUGCCCAGCCAGGCCCAGCUUCCUGGGUUCUCGUUCCUAGAGCUUGCCUCUCCUUGGGGUGAGUGGAAUACAACUAAGCCUCCACUCUCAGAGGGCAGGGAGAGAGGGUGAAGAGGCCAAGCCCCAGCCAGAAAACUCAGGGCUUCCAUGUGUGAACGCAAAGGCCUUGGAGAGUAGGGCCCACCCCUGUGCAGGGCCACCUGGCGGCCGGGCGGAGAAGGUGCGGGUCUGUCGGUAACCCAUCUCCUCUCUUUGUUCCCUGUCCUCAGAGAACGAGGAGGAGAAGAGUCCAGUGCUAGAUGGAGAUAGAUAUAUGUAGAGAGAGCAACAUGUAAGUGGGGGACUGCCCCCCUGUGUGACCGUCCACCCCCACUUGACCAUAAUCAGACAGUGCUCCUUUGUCUCAAAUACUGGAGCUGACCCAGCUUUCCCACUGUAGUCCAGGGAAUGGCGAAGGAGAGCUUGCCAUGAGCCAGAUUUGCAUGAAGAGUCAUCCCUCCCCCUCCCUGCUCCCCUUGCCUUGCCUUUACCCAGGGCAGUGCCAGCUGUCAUAGGAUUACAUGUCAUCUUAGUGUGUGAUGUCCCAUAUUAGCUGAUGCUUCCUAUUCUAUAACACAUGUGGUUUAUAGAACAUGACGUGGCAUCCAUAUUAGGACUCAUCCGUGGUAUUAUGAUACUGUGUGGCUAUGGUAUUAUAAUAUCAUAAUUAUUACUGGUACCAGGGUGACACUGUAAUGCCACCAGUAAUAAUAGGCUUCCCACCCUUGUCCUCUGCAUUGUGACCUGUUAGGGUGAUCAGAUGCAUGGUUUACCUCCAACUCUCAGUUUUCUCUACUUGGGGGAUAAAAGGGGAGGUUUGGCCAGGUGUGGUGGCUCAUGCCUUUAAUACUAGCUACUUGGGAGGCUGAGGUGGGAGUCACUUGAGCCCAGGAGGUCGAGGCUGCAGUGAGCGGUGAUCACGCCACUGCACUCCAGCCUGGGUGACAGAGCAAGACUCUGUCUCAAAAAUAAAAAAAUAAAAGGGAAGUUUGAGUAGUUCAAAUCCAUAAAUAACCCCAAACCAUUAUUCUCUGGGGCUCAGAAACACCCUCCUUUUGUUUCCCUAACAACCUCUCCCUCCUGGAUGUUGUGGAAGGAGCCCUAAGAGGGAGUGGGAAGGGCCUGGGGCUCGCCAGCUGGCUAUUGGCUCUGGCUGGUUGGGGGUAGAUGCUUUGGCCUCUGUGGGCAGCCCUGCCACAUCACUGCAGGCCUAGGGCGGGGGUGGGGCCUCGGUUGUGCACCCACUUUCCUUGCCUCUGGCCUGGGCUCUAUAGUUGGUUCUGGCUGGGAGCCUGCCAGGCUCUGGGCAGCAAGUGGGAGUUUGAGGAAGGGAAGACAUGCAGGCUGGCAAGAGCUGACAGAGCUGUGCCAGGUACCAGAGGUGAAGGUGGGAACAUAGGUGUAGGGGGCUUUCUGGUGGCUUCUCUGUUCUCCCAGCUCCCUGGCCUUAGAUCACUAAGGAGCGCCGUCUGGGUGGGCUUGAGGCAAAGGGAGUGGAGUCAGGAGGAGAUUCAGUGAGGGAAAAGAUGCUAGAGCCUCCAGAGCCUGUGGUGGGGGCUGAGUGAUGCCCCCAGCUGUGAGUCCCUCUGGGUCCUUGGCCUCCCCGCAGUCCUCUUAGGGGCCCUUAAGGGAGAGUCCCAAUCUUCCUCCCCAUGGAGUGGGUACUGGCUCCACACCCUGAAGGCCUGGGGGGCCACAUCUGCUGGGUUUGGGGAGACGCUCUUUCUGUCUAUGAGGGGCUGUAGAAGCUACCUUCCUUGGCAGUGACAGCUGCUUCUAAGCAGUCCUUGUCCUUGCGCUCCAUGUUUUUGGAGGGAGGUGACAUGGGAGAAGUUGGGGGCACCCAUCCUGAGGGGCAGGUUCCAAGUACUCUUGGGCCCUGUCAGCCCUGCACCCUAGAGGGAGAAGGGAAGGGGCCUGCCCAGGGUCACAGGUGAGCGAUCCAGAAACGAGACUGCAUCCCCUGGGACUCCCAGCUUAGUGCUCCCUCGGCAUCACCCUCCCCAUUCACCACCUGUGCUGUGUGUUUCUGACAGUGGUGGGAGGUGAGGCCCUGGUUCUCAGCGUCAGCCAUGGUUCUGUGACAUGGGAGGCUGCAGGCCCCUUAGGCUGUGGAAAAAAUGGGUCAGGGGGUCAGGAGGGAAUCAGGCCCUGACCUUGCUCCUUCUGUCUCACAUUUCAGGACUGGGGCUGCACCACACAAGGGUCCCCAGGGCCCCCAGGUGGGCCUUGUACCCCCAGCUCUGGCAGCGCCCCCAGGAUUGAACGUGGGGAGCCCCAGGGCAGAAGCAAGAAGGUGUGGGGUUUCUUCUCCAAGGGGAAGCAGCUCCUCAGGAGGCUGGGCUCUGGGAAGAAGGAGUGAAGCUGUGGCCCAUCCUGCAGGCAGAAGAGGCCCUGAGAGGCCCCCAGAUCACUGUCUCUGCUGAGCAGGGAAGGCUCAGACUGGGCCCAGAGCCCCCGUUCUUCUGCGUUAACACUGUGGCAUUCAGAGGGAAUCAAAGAGCCUUGGUGAAGGUCAGAGCUAAAUGGCUCCUUAAGGAUGAACUCUCUAGAGAAGCACCUUCCUCCUACAGGAGGGGAAACUGAGCCCACAGUGAGUAUGUAACUUGACCAAGGUCACUGAGCCAGGACUGGACCCAGGACCCUCGCGUCCUGGUCCACCCACCUCGUCUACUAGUGUCCCACAGUGCUGCGCUAGUACCUUCUGCCACCCUUCCCAGUCCCAGGACGGGCCCUGGAGGGAGAAAGGAGCCUGUGCCCCCUGAUGGCUCUGGCUGUCCUGAUCCUGUCUUCCCUCCCCUGAAGGAAAGUUUGCACUGGAUUUUCUUGGAGCCCCAUCUCCCCAGCGGGCAGGCGGGCGGAGCCUGUAUAUAUGUACAUACUCAGUGCCUCAGUUCAGCUUCCUCCACCUCGCUUCCACUGCACAGGCCCAGGAAGGAGAAAGGCCAAGCCAAAGUGGGCCCCACCCUGCCCCCGUCGUGCUCCAUCCUUCCCUGCCGGGGCCUGCUGGCCCCUGUAAGGUCCCGCCCCCAAAGACCCUGGGGCCAGCGGGGCCGAAAGCAGAGUUGGGUUUGCCUUAUUUUGCUCAUUGGAUUCAAGUUCUUUUGCAUAGUUUUCUUCUAACCCCUGUUGGAGUCCAGGGGCUGGAGAAAAGGACAGAUUUAUGCAGCUAUUUUCAUACAUUCCCUGUUCAGAGUGGGGUAGGGGUUCUCCACCGUUACCCGAUCCACUCCAUCCCCCACCCUCUGAGGGGUGAGUGUGUCUUUGCAUGUUUCCUUUGCUGUGGUGGGAGAUAGUUUGACUGAACCCCCACCUCGACCUUGGUCUCCAGGGGUGUGGAAUGGUGGGGGAAUUUGUUUAAAAAGACAUUUUAUUAUAAUAAAGUCUAUUUUCACAAAAUCU